UGGAGUCUGCAACUCGACUCCAUGAAGUCGGAAUCGCUAGUAAUCGUGGAUCAGAAUGCCACGGUGAAUACGUUCCCGGGCCUUGUACACACCGCCCGUCACACCAUGGGAGUGGGUUGCAAAAGAAGUAGGUAGCUUAACCUUCGGGAGGGCGCUUACCACUUUGUGAUUCAUGACUGGGGUGAAGUCGUAACAAGGUAACCGUAGGGGAACCUGCGGUUGGAUCACCUCCUUA
This 235-nucleotide ribosomal RNA is filed under the name Escherichia coli. Its description in RNAcentral is "partial 16S ribosomal RNA". It matches the Rfam family "Bacterial small subunit ribosomal RNA", at positions 1299 to 1533 of the family's 1533-position model. The record is from RNAcentral. RNAcentral also lists the same sequence under 2 other names. Lineage: Bacteria; Pseudomonadati; Pseudomonadota; Gammaproteobacteria; Enterobacterales; Enterobacteriaceae.